UUGGUACUUGGAGAGUGGUUAUCCCUGUCCUGUUCGUUUUACUCAUGUCGAAUCGUACAGGGUCAUCCACUUUUUCAGUAUCAA
MicroRNA precursor from Carlito syrichta (Philippine tarsier), 84 nucleotides. NCBI's taxonomy places the organism in Eukaryota, Metazoa, Chordata, Mammalia, Primates, Tarsiidae. The record is from Ensembl.